AUGUUCUCGUCGCAGUCACUCAGCCGCAUCAACAACAUCCGCACAGCGCUGAUUAAUGCGCAGAAGGGCAAUCAAUCGGUGGCCACCUUCUUCGCCGCCAUGAGGGGUCUCGCCGAUGAACUCGCCGCGGUGGGAAAACCCAUCCAGGACGACGAGCUCAUCUCCUACAUCAUCCACGGGCUGGACCAAGAGUAUCAGCCCCUCGUCUCCGCACUAGAUGCCCGUUUCACCCCGGUAACCCUCAAUGAACUUUUUGCCAUGCUCAGUAACUUUGAUGAACGCAUGGUGCAGUAUCAUGGCUCCGGCGGUGGCUUCAAAUCGUCGGCCAACUCUGCAUCCAGAGGCCGCGGUGGUGGCUCUCGCUCGCGCUCAUCUUCCCGCGGCAAGGGGAGGUUUGGCGCCGGCGGUGGUGGCUACUCCAACAGCUCACGGUGGUUCCAACAGGUCCCGUCCAGACUUGCCUCGCUGCCAAAUCUGUGGCAAACCUGGUCAUACGGCAAAGGACUGUUGGUACCGCUACGAAGAAGAUGA
RNAcentral lists this ribosomal RNA (531 nucleotides) under Triticum aestivum (bread wheat). RNAcentral's name for it is "partial small subunit ribosomal RNA". Lineage: Eukaryota; Viridiplantae; Streptophyta; Magnoliopsida; Poales; Poaceae. The record is from RNAcentral.